CUUAGUGGCGGACGGGUGAGUAACGCGUGGGUAACCUGCCCUGUACUGGGGGACAACAGUUAGAAAUGACUGCUAAUACCGCAUAAGCCUACAGAGUUGCAUGACUCAGGAGGAAAAAUUCCGGUGGUACAGGAUGGGCCCGCGUCUGAUUAGCUAGUUGGUGAGGUAAUGGCUCACCAAGGCAACGAUCAGUAGCCGGCUUGAGAGAGUGAACGGCCACAUUGGGACUGAGACACGGCCCAAACUCC
Molecule: ribosomal RNA, 248 nt
Filed under: uncultured Eubacteriales bacterium
Lineage: Bacteria; Bacillati; Bacillota; Clostridia; Eubacteriales
Description: uncultured Clostridiales bacterium partial 16S ribosomal RNA
Rfam family: Bacterial small subunit ribosomal RNA
Source: RNAcentral